GCCCCUGUGGAUAGCUCAGUCGGUAGAGCGUGAGAUUCCUAAUCUUGGGGGCCGUGGGUUCAAGCCCCAUGUUGGGCA
This is a non-coding RNA of Podarcis lilfordi (Lilford's wall lizard), 78 nucleotides long. The record is from the annotation of a GenBank genome assembly. Lineage: Eukaryota; Metazoa; Chordata; Lepidosauria; Squamata; Lacertidae.